This 758-nucleotide ribosomal RNA is filed under the name uncultured Campylobacterota bacterium. RNAcentral describes it as "bacterial SSU rRNA". It matches the Rfam family "Bacterial small subunit ribosomal RNA", at positions 28 to 795 of the family's 1533-position model. The record is from RNAcentral. Lineage: Bacteria; Pseudomonadati; Campylobacterota.
AGUGAACGCUGGCGGCGUGCUUAACACAUGCAAGUCGAGCGAGAACGGCUCUAUCCUUCGGGAUAGAGUGUCAGCUAAGCGGCGCACGGGUGAGUAACACGUAGCUAACCUGCCCCAUAGUGGGGGAUAACAGCCCGAAAGGGCUGCUAAUACCCUAUACUCCUUCCAUACGAAAGUAUGGUUGUGGAAAGCGUUAGCGCUAUGGGAUGGGGCUGCGGCCUAUCAGCUAGUUGGUGGGGUAAAGGCCUACCAAGGCUAUGACGGGUAGCUGGUCUGAGAGGAUGGUCAGCCACACUGGAACUGAGACACGGUCCAGACUCCUACGGGAGGCAGCAGUGGGGAAUAUUGCACAAUGGGGGAAACCCUGAUGCAGCAACGCCGCGUGGAGGAUGACGCCCUUCGGGGUGUAAACUCCUUUUGACAGGGAAGAAGAUGACGGUACCUGUCGAAUAAGCACCGGCUAACUCCGUGCCAGCAGCCGCGGUAAUACGGAGGGUGCAAGCGUUACUCGGAAUCACUGGGCGUAAAGGGCGCGUAGGCGGUCUGCUAAGUUGGAUGUGAAAGCCCACAGCUUAACUGUGGAACUGCGUCCAAAACUGGUAGACUAGAGUCCGGAAGAGGCAGGUGGAAUUGGUGGUGUAGGGGUAAAAUCCGUAGAGAUCACCAGGAAUACCCAUUGCGAAGGCGACCUGCUGGGACGGUACUGACGCUGAGGCGCGAAAGCGUGGGGAGCAAACAGGAUUAGAUACCUGGUAGUC